Long non-coding RNA from Melozone crissalis (California towhee), 346 nucleotides. RefSeq lists it as uncharacterized. The record is from RefSeq and is a predicted model, not a curated record. NCBI's taxonomy places the organism in Eukaryota, Metazoa, Chordata, Aves, Passeriformes, Passerellidae. The transcript is spliced from 3 exons.
UUAAAAUCCUCCCACCAACCUGCCAAAUCACAGGAUGGAGUUACUCAGUGUCUCCUUUCCAUUGAAUGUUUUGCCACAUGCAAACUUUCCUCUUCUGUCUCAGUGUACUGUGUUUUGCUAGGCUUACUUGCAAAGGUUAAAAGAAUGGAGUGUACUGGAGUCAGGAAAGCUCAGUGUCUGUUGGAGGUGAAGUCACCAGCAUUGCAUUUCUCCACCAGUCACAACUGAUAAGUUCAAAACCACAUCAGGGAGGCAACUACUAAGAAUAGAAAGUACCAUCUCUGCCAUGAUAAAUCACCCCCAGGAAAACCAGCUUAUCCCAGCUCAGGGUGGCCACAAAACCAAC